AUGCCGGCGCGCAAGGCGCCCGGGCCGGACGGCUUUACCGCGGAAUUCUUGAGCGCUUGCUGGAGCAUUAUCAGGCAGGACAUCCUGGAUGUUUUUGAGCUGCUCUACGCGCUGCGCGGGUAUGGGUUCAGCAAGCUUAACCAAGCUUUGCUAACCUUGCUCCCCAAACGUGCAGAUGCCCACAUGCUCGGCGACUACCGCCCGAUUUGCCUGAUUCACAUUGUGGCCAAGAUCUUCGCGAAGGUCCUGUCUUUGCGCCUUGCCCCCAAGCUCGACACCCUUGUCAGCCGCAACCAGAACGCGUUCAUCGCCAGACACAGCCUCCACGACAACUUCAUUCUAGUCCGGCAAUCUCUCAAGCUGCUGCAUCAACUUGGCGCGCCCAGAAUCAUGCUCAAGCUCGACCUCACGCUCGCCUUCGACUCCAUCUCAUGGCCCUUCCUCUUCGAGGUUCUGCGCCAGUAUGGGUUCGGCGAUCGCUUUAGGGAAUGGCUGGCCAUCCUCCUGUCCACGGUGCUGGCGGUGGACACGCUCGGACGGCUGAUGCGCCGCGCCCUCCAUGCCGGCAUCCUGCAGCAGCUCCACCCCCGUCGCGCCAUCCCGGCGAUUUCUCUCUACGCCGAUGACGUGAUGCUCUUUUGCCAUGCCACAACGGAUGAGGUCUCCGCGGUCAAGCAUCCUGGGCGUGUUUGGCAUGGCUUCCGGACUCUAGGUGAACUACACCAAGAGCUCUGCCACGGUCCUUCAUGGCGACGAUUCUAG
This 762-nucleotide ribosomal RNA is filed under the name Triticum aestivum (bread wheat). RNAcentral's name for it is "partial small subunit ribosomal RNA". The record is from RNAcentral. Lineage: Eukaryota; Viridiplantae; Streptophyta; Magnoliopsida; Poales; Poaceae.